Molecule: long non-coding RNA, 372 nt
Filed under: Gallus gallus (chicken)
Lineage: Eukaryota; Metazoa; Chordata; Aves; Galliformes; Phasianidae
Source: RNAcentral
GCUGGUCACUACUGUGUUCUUUCAGGUGUUCAAUCCUACGUUUGCAGAGUUUUGCACUCUCAUCUUCAGCCUGGAUUGACUCAACUGCCUUUCGUUUCAGCACGCUGAGUUUUUCAACUACUCCAUCUAGGAGACUAACAACUGAAUCCACAGCAGGACAACUGCUCAGCGUCUUCUCCAGCUCUGCCACGACCAUUGUAACGUGACUUGUCUCUCGAUCAAUGUUUUUCUGCGCAGCUCGAAACCGUUUGUUCAGUGUUUCAUAUGGCACCUUGAGAGUGGGGUACUCCUGCACCUUCAAAGUCAUUGAGAGCUGAGCAGCUGAUUCCUGCACCGCCAUCUUGGAUCGGGCACCAGCCUCCCUCCUCCUCC